This 1520-nucleotide long non-coding RNA is filed under the name Heterocephalus glaber (naked mole-rat). Its description in RNAcentral is "lncRNA (ENSHGLG00100052084.1)". Lineage: Eukaryota; Metazoa; Chordata; Mammalia; Rodentia; Bathyergidae. The record is from RNAcentral.
CACAGCCCCGAACUCCAAACAAAGCGGGAACUGGCCGGCGUCCCUUAAUCCGGCCCAGCCCUUCUCCCUGAUCCGUUGCCCCAGGGCUCCCUCUGCUGGCAGACGGAAGUGGUGCUGCCCACGUGGCAGACUCUUGCCCUGGUCUCAGAUUCCCGGCCCUGGCCCCCGGCCUGAUUUACUCCUGUAGCUCCGCCUGACUAGUGACACCGCCUCUGCUCAGCUCCCAUAUCACCUCCUUGAUGACAUCUCAGGUCCCAGGCACAGCUUACAGAGUAUUUUAAAUGCAUGGCAGCUUGGCUUUUAUUUUGAAGAGUCUAAAUAUGAAGAGAUGAUCUCGACCUUAGAAACUAUCCAGACCUUGUAAGAGAGAUCCAAGGACAUAUCCAGAACUUAAAUAUAUUCUUGAAUACUUGGAAAAGAAACAUGAACAAGAUCCAAACAGGUGAUACAGGUAGAGUGUGUUAAACUGUAAUUUGGGAACACAUUUUGAACAUGUCAGGAAAAUAAAGGAUAAAUUUUUUUUUAAACCAUAUGUGUUUAUAUCGAUUCAGGUUAAGGAAGUGAAUCACAAGCUAUAUAAAAUUGAGGUAAACUGGAAAACUCAAAGGAAAGUACUGUAUCUACUCCCAGCCGCCCAGAACAAAAGAUCACAUUAAAAAAUCCAUGGUGUGAAUUCCCUCCUUGGGCCAGAAGGGAGGAGAGAUGGGUUUCCCUGCAAGUCUGCCGACUGCACCCUGCCCUCCCUGAUGUAGCAGAGCUCCUCAGUGCAGAAGCAGAUACAAGUGCGUUCCUCGGACCCUGAGGCCCAGCCCCAAACCUGCUCUCAGCAGGCCGAGUGGAGCCAUGAUGGGCCCCUGUGGACAUACACCUGCAGGGAGCGGGCUCCUCCCGAAGUCACGUCUCCGGUUGGCUGAGGUCAGUGCUGGCCUCAGACCCCGCUGGGUCCCAAUCUUCUUCCCCACUUUCCUUUUCAUUUCUUUACUUUAUACCCAGAGAAUGCUUCUUCUAUUUCACUGUUCUAAAAACAAAACAAAACCAGAAAAGGGAGGUAGGUAAGCAGGGACGGAGAGGGCACAGAGAACCUAAAAGUGCCGAGAACGCUACCAGACGAGGACGGCCCGUGCCACUGCCCAGUGAGCCCGAGUCCUCUGGGCCUCGUGCACCCCAACCACACAGGCCCACCCGUGGGGCAGCAGCUCCCGCACACCCUUCCUCCACGCCAUGCCUCCCCACCUGGAUCUGAAAAGUGGCCAGAGAGCCUGGCAAGGCAAGCAAACCCCCGGAAAGGCCACCAUCUUUGUAAGAGCCAGCUCACUAGAGUGUUUCCUCAUCCUUAUCCCCGGAGGUGGAUCAUCUUACGCAGUGUCUGCAACACAUGCUUUCCGUUCUCGUUAUUACAGUAACUCCUGAUCGCACACCCCGCCCCACACUUCCAGUGUCCUCUGCCCCGCAAAGGGGCCACGAAGUGCAGGCGGAGCUCACUGCGCGGGCGCCACUAACAACCGUCGUCCCGUGCUCAC